GAACUGAGGUGACUCAGAAUAAACCCUGAAAAGGACAAGCAGUCUACUCCACAAACCUUGUCCUCGUACUACCUCGUAUUGCCUUGUAUUACCUCUGAGGCAGCAGACAGGACCACCUCCUCCGCAGCAAGGCCUUGAUGGCAUGAAGGAGAAUCUGUCGACAUACCCCCCCGCCCCUUUUUCCAUCAAUCAAUCAUGCAAAGAAAGAAGGAACGAAAACACAUCGCUCCUAGACAAACAAGCCAGUGGGCAUAUGGCGGUUUGACAGCCAGGACAGGCUGUCUUUUUCCAUCCCUGGAAGGGACGAUGCAUCACUGCAUCCAGCAGGGGACGGGGAGACGGAAAUGAGGAGAGCGGCGCAAACAUAACAGGGG
This is a long non-coding RNA of Doryrhamphus excisus (bluestripe pipefish), 374 nucleotides long. RefSeq lists it as uncharacterized. The record is from RefSeq and is a predicted model, not a curated record. NCBI's taxonomy places the organism in Eukaryota, Metazoa, Chordata, Actinopteri, Syngnathiformes, Syngnathidae.